CUGUCUGUAAAGGGUAUAAUUUACCAAUCCGAAAAUGGUUAGCUGACAUGGCCAAUUAAAUGACUGUCAGUGACUGACAAAACAAGAGAAAAACUGCUGAUGCACAUGCUCAUUUCGAAUUUACACCUUGCGUAUUCUACUAUUCUAACUCUCAACAGUAAGUUGCGACCACGACUGAGGGAGCCAAAGCGACUGAAUAUGUCACGUAUGCCUGGCACUGAAAGCUGUUCCGUCUCUGCUUUGGACACCUCCACUGUUUGACCGCAUUCAUCCUCCAUCUCCCAUGAAAUCUUGACCAAGUCUGGAAACAUGUCUCUAGCCAGACAUAGCAGGGUGAUCUUCCCAUUCGACUCAGGGUUGGACGCUGGGUAGACGGUCACUUUGGGUUUACAUUCUGAUGAGGAAGUACUGGAUGAUAAAUACGACCUGAAGAAGGGUGUCACGCCCUGACCUUAGUUAUAUGUUUUCUUUAUUAUUUUGGUUAGGUCAGGGUGUGACAAGGGUGGGUAUGUUUGUUUUGCAUUUGUCUAGGGUUUUUGUAUGUCUAGGGUGUUUGUAAGUCUAGGGGUGUUUGUAAGUCUAGGCAUAUGUAGAUCUAUGGUGGCCUGAAUUGGUUCCCAUUCAGAGGCAGCUGUUUAUCGUUGUCUCUGAUUGGGGAUCAUAUUUAGGUUGCCAUUUUCCCUUGGGUAUUUGUGGGUUCUUGUCUAUGUGUAGUUGCCUGUUCAGCACUCUUUGUAUAGCUUC
This is a long non-coding RNA of Oncorhynchus tshawytscha (Chinook salmon), 744 nucleotides long. NCBI's taxonomy places the organism in Eukaryota, Metazoa, Chordata, Actinopteri, Salmoniformes, Salmonidae. The record is from Ensembl.